RNAcentral lists this ribosomal RNA (292 nucleotides) under uncultured bacterium. RNAcentral's name for it is "partial 16S ribosomal RNA". It matches the Rfam family "Bacterial small subunit ribosomal RNA", at positions 505 to 796 of the family's 1533-position model. The record is from RNAcentral.
GUGUCAGCCGCCGCGGUAAUACGGAGGGUGCAAGCGUUGCUCGGAAUUAUUGGGCGUAAAGGGUAGGUAGGUGGUCUCAUUUGUCUGAGGUGAAAGCCUUGAGCUUAACUCAAGAAGUGCCUCAGAAACGGUGAGACUAGAGUCCUGGAGAGGGUCGUGGAAUUCCCGGUGUAGCGGUGAAAUGCGUAGAGAUCGGGAGGAACACCAGAGGCGAAAGCGGCGACCUGGACAGGAACUGACACUCAACUACGAAAGCGUGGGGAGCAAACAGGAUUAGAUACCCCUGUAGUCC